This 318-nucleotide ribosomal RNA is filed under the name uncultured bacterium. RNAcentral's name for it is "bacterial SSU rRNA". It matches the Rfam family "Bacterial small subunit ribosomal RNA", at positions 794 to 1107 of the family's 1533-position model. The record is from RNAcentral.
UCCACGCCGUAAACGAUGGGUACUAGGUGUUGCGGUUUUUUAAUAACUGCAGUGCCAAAGUGAAAACAUUAAGUACCCCGCCUGGGGAGUACGGUCUCAAGAUUAAAACUUAAAGGAAUUGACGGGGGCCCGCACAAGCGGUGGAGUAUGUGGUUUAAUUCGAUGCAACGCGAAGAACCUUACCUGGCCUUGACAUCCCGGGAAGUCUUUGGAAACAAGGAUGUGCUCUUCGGAGAACCCGGUGACAGGUGUUGCAUGGCUGUCGUCAGCUCGUGCCGUGAGAUGUUGGGUUAAGUCCCGCAACGAGCGCAACCCCUG